GUUGAGUCAUCUGAUGAAAUAGAUUGUCUCUCAAUCUGCUUACUCCCAGCAAUUUCUACAAACGAUGCGAACAGAUAAGAUUGCAUCUUCCCCAUCGUUUUGGCAUGCAAACCAACGUGGAUGACCUUGGACGAGUCGCUCUUUUCAUUUACUAUUUGAUGAUUGCUGCUCGGUCAGCGUGGAGGGUAGAAAGAGAAAUAGGGUCGGACGUUUGGUGAAAAAGAGCGACGACAAAUAUUGGCCCAUCACAGAGCACUCCGAUUGAUGCAGCGAUAGGUCAAUUUUUGUUUAAA
This is a non-coding RNA of Caenorhabditis elegans, 293 nucleotides long. Lineage: Eukaryota; Metazoa; Nematoda; Chromadorea; Rhabditida; Rhabditidae. The record is from Ensembl.